RNAcentral lists this ribosomal RNA (447 nucleotides) under Syntomoza magna. Its description in RNAcentral is "partial small subunit ribosomal RNA". Lineage: Eukaryota; Metazoa; Arthropoda; Insecta; Hemiptera; Liviidae. The record is from RNAcentral.
UGUACCUUUUGUAUCAGGGAUAGUUUAUAUAAGAUUAUGAGUAUUCUUUCUCGAAAAGAAAAGAUUUAGAUGACAAUGGUGAGCUCAUGUAAAAGCAUUAGAGGUUAUUGGUUUCUAGGUGUGAGAUGUAAAUCGAGUUUCUGUAUCUAGUUAUUUUAAGGUUAAAUUUAAUUUGAAUAUUAUUUUGGGAGGAAUAGUAGGAGUAAUUGUAGGGAUAAUCUUGUAAUUAGAAUAAUGGACGAGCUAUAAUAUUACGUUUUAGACUUAAAAUUAGUCAUUUGUAUGUAAUAAUUAAUGUAGUUAAUUUAWWGGUUUAGAGUUUCUUUAAGGGGAGUUAAAGUUAAAUGAUAAGCCACSUAAMUUAUGAAAUUAAUGAUUGUAUUAGUAGAAUAGAAAAAUAGAGUAUAAGAAUUCAGCAAAACUAAGUUUCGUCUGUUUAACAAAAAC